Molecule: ribosomal RNA, 375 nt
Filed under: uncultured organism
Description: bacterial SSU rRNA
Rfam family: Bacterial small subunit ribosomal RNA
Source: RNAcentral
CGGAGGAUCCAAGCGUUAUCCGGAAUUACUGGGCGUAAAGGGCGCGUAGACGGCAUGGCAAGUCGGGAGUGAAAGGCCUGGGCUCAACCGAGGAACUGCUUUCGAGACUGCCAAGCUAGAGUGCGGAAGGGGCAUCUGGAAUUCCCAGUGUAGCGGUGAAAUGCGUAGAUAUUGGGAAGAACACCUGAGGCGAAGGCGGGAUGCUGGGCCGACACUGACGCUGAGGCGCGAAAGCCAGGGGAGCAAACGGGAUUAGAUACCCCGGUAGUCCUGGCCCUAAACGAUGGAUACUUGGUGUGUGGGGUUCUUCGAGUCCCCGCGUGCCGGAGCUAACGCGGUAAGUAUCCCGCCUGGGGGAGUACGGUCGCAAGGCUG